CUUCUGUUAACACAGGGAAGGAGCCUGCCAUGACCACCAAGAUGGAGGCACUGGUAGAAUUUAGAAUGAGCUACUCAUUCUACUUAAGCUACUCUUCUAGAAUGAAGCUUCAGGGAGUUCACAGGGGUUGAAAAGGACACAACAAAGGUUGGAAUAUACCAAUAAAUAUGCUGUUACUGCUCAAACAAACCACUUCCUUGUGUUGCCAUCUUCAAUCAAAAUGUAGACUGCUAUAGAUAACUUGGAAAACACAGAACACAACAACAAAAAGGUCAUCUGUGAUCAUGCCCUAGAGAGAACUACUUUUGAUAUUAAGCUGGGGAGGAUGAGGAUCUAGCACCACACACUAUCUUCUUGUCUUCCCAUUCUGCUUUCAACAUAAACCAGAGACCAUUAGGAACACAGCUGAAAGCAAGUUAAAUUUAUUAUUUUCUGCAACAAAGAAGACCCUACAUCAUAGAGAGCAAAGGAAGCAAAAAAUCAGAGGAAACCAAGAAAGAGGAAGAAAAGGGAUAUCAGAAACAGAAGAUGCACUGAGCUGAGAGGCUGGUUGGUUGGCCAGAGUUUCUCAUCAAGGAGUACAUGCUGUUUGCUCCCCAGAUGGACAGCCUGGAUGAGCUACAAAUCCACAGAGCCUGGGACACAAGAAAUUCCAAUGCUCAACAAAUGCUGCAAGUAGGUCAAACCUUCACUGGAAAACCAGGUUGGGUUGCAGACACCAGAUGACAGGAGGGGCAGUGACAGAUUGGAGUGACCCAGAGUACUGGAACAAUGAUGAAAAAGAAAAGAAACGUAAAAGAAAAAAAAAUUGAAUAGAUGGACCAGCGAAGAGACUGAAACACGAUUGAAAUUACAUCUUUUUCUCCUAGAAGUCAAAGUAUGAAGCACUUUAUAGUACAUAAACUAAGCAGACUUGAGCUUGCUGGACUUGAGCGUCAGGCUUGUGUUGGUUUAAGGGUUUGCAGGACUUGUACCACCUUGAAACUUUCUGAUUUUGGAGUAAUUGCUGUACCAGUUUUUUGUAUUUUCAGGGAGGCUACACUUCAGAUGUCUACUCUUCUGGAUUGUAGUUUGUCUACUUCAUAUAACCUUUCUGAGGCUUAGUAUUCUCAUCCACAGAAUGGGCAUAUGAUACCUCAUAGAUCGUCAUUCAGAUUAAAUGAGAGUA
This is a long non-coding RNA of Neofelis nebulosa (Clouded leopard), 1168 nucleotides long. RefSeq lists it as uncharacterized. Lineage: Eukaryota; Metazoa; Chordata; Mammalia; Carnivora; Felidae. The record is from RefSeq and is a predicted model, not a curated record. The transcript is spliced from 11 exons.